UACGUAGGGGGCAAGCGUUGUCCGGAUUUAUUGGGCGUAAAGAGCGUGUAGGCGGCCAUACAGGUCAGCUGUGAAAACUCGAGGCUCAACCUCGAGACGUCGGUUGAAACCGUAUGGCUAGAGUCCGGAAGAGGAGAGUGGAAUUCCCGGUGUAGCGGUGAAAUGCGCAGAUAUCGGGAAGAACACCCGUGGCGAAGGCGGCUCUCUGGGACGGUACUGACGCUGAGACGCGAAAGCUUGGGGAGCUAACAGG
Molecule: ribosomal RNA, 253 nt
Filed under: uncultured bacterium
Lineage: Bacteria
Description: partial 16S ribosomal RNA
Rfam family: Bacterial small subunit ribosomal RNA
Source: RNAcentral